Molecule: ribosomal RNA, 479 nt
Filed under: uncultured bacterium
Lineage: Bacteria
Description: bacterial SSU rRNA
Rfam family: Bacterial small subunit ribosomal RNA
Source: RNAcentral
CAGCGCGAACGUUGGCGGCGUGCCUAACACAUGCAAGUCGUGGGGCAGCAGGCUACUGUCUUUUGGCAGUAGUGCUGGCGACCGGCAAACGGGUGAGUAACGCGUAGCUUACCUACCCAUAGGUUGGGGAUAACAUCCCGAAAGGGAUGCUAAUACCCAAUAAUGAGGAGACUCCAAAGCCCUUAUGGGCGCCUAUGGAUGGGGCUGCGUCCCAUCAGCUAGUUGGUGAGGUAAUGGCUCACCAAGGCUACGACGGGUAACCGGUCUGAGAGGAUGACCGGUCACAGCGGGACUGAGACACGGCCCGCACCCCUACGGGGGGCAGCAGUGGGGAAUAUUGGGCAAUGGCCGAAAGGCUGACCCAGCAACGCCGCGUGGUGGAUGAAGCCCUUCGGGGUGUAAACACCUUUUCUGGGGGAAGAUAAUGACGGUACCCCAGGAAUAAGGGACGGCUAACUACGUGCCAGCAGCCGCGGUAA